UACGGGGGGGGGCAAGCGUUGUUCGGAAUUAUUGGGCGUAAAGAGCUCGUAGGCGGUUUGUCGCGUCUGCUGUGAAAACUGGAGGCUCAACCUCCAGCCUGCAGUGGGUACGGGCAGACUAGAGUGCGGUAGGGGAGAUUGGAAUUCCUGGUGUAGCGGUGGAAUGCGCAGAUAUCAGGAGGAACACCGAUGGCGAAGGCAGAUCUCUGGGCCGUAACUGACGCUGAGGAGCGAAAGCAUGGGGAGCGAACAGG
RNAcentral lists this ribosomal RNA (254 nucleotides) under uncultured bacterium. RNAcentral describes it as "partial 16S ribosomal RNA". It matches the Rfam family "Bacterial small subunit ribosomal RNA", at positions 524 to 776 of the family's 1533-position model. The record is from RNAcentral.